GGGGAAUCUUAGACAAUGGGGGAAACCCUGAUCUAGCCAUGCCGCGUGAUCGAUGAAGGCCUUAGGGUUGUAAAGAUCUUUCAGUGGGGAAGAUAAUGACUGUACCCACAGAAGAAGCCCCGGCUAACUCCGUGCCAGCAGCCGCGGUAAUACGGAGGGGGCUAGCGUUGUUCGGAAUUACUGGGCGUAAAGCGCACGUAGGCGGAUCAGAAAGUCAGAGGUGAAAUCCCAGGGCUCAACCUUGGAACUGCCUUUGAAACUCCUGAUCUUGAGGUCGAGAGAGGUGAGUGGAAUUCCGAGUGUAGAGGUGAAAUUCGUAGAUAUUCGGAGGAACACCGGUGGCGAAGGCGGCUCACUGGCUCGAUACUGACACUGAGGUGUGAAAGCGUGGGGAGCAAAC
RNAcentral lists this ribosomal RNA (400 nucleotides) under uncultured bacterium. Its description in RNAcentral is "bacterial SSU rRNA". It matches the Rfam family "Bacterial small subunit ribosomal RNA", at positions 356 to 773 of the family's 1533-position model. The record is from RNAcentral.